ACGAACGCUGGCGGCGUGCUUAACACAUGCAAGUCGAACGGAAAGGCCCUGCUUUUGUGGGGUGCUCGAGUGGCGAACGGGUGAGUAACACGUGAGUAACCUGCCCUUGACUUUGGGAUAACUUCAGGAAACUGGGGCUAAUACCGGAUAGGAGCUCCUGCUGCAUGGUGGGGGUUGGAAAGUUUCGGCGGUUGGGGAUGGACUCGCGGCUUAUCAGCUUGUUGGUGGGGUAGUGGCUUACCAAGGCUUUGACGGGUAGCCGGCCUGAGAGGGUGACCGGCCACAUUGGGACUGAGAUACGGCCCAGACUCCUACGGGAGGCAGCAGUGGGGAAUAUGGCACAAUGGGCGGAAGCCUGAUGCAGCAACGCCGCGUGCGGGAUGACGGCCUUCGGGUUGUAAACCGCUUUCGCCUGUGACGAAGCGUGAGUGACGGUAAUGGGUAAAGAAGCACCGGCUAACUACGUG
This 467-nucleotide ribosomal RNA is filed under the name uncultured bacterium. RNAcentral describes it as "partial 16S ribosomal RNA". It matches the Rfam family "Bacterial small subunit ribosomal RNA", at positions 29 to 507 of the family's 1533-position model. The record is from RNAcentral.